AGGUAAAAGUCGUAACAAGGUUUCCGUAGGUGAACCUGCGGAAGGAUCAUUAUUGAAUACGAUUGGUACUGAUGCUGGCUCUUCACUGAGCAUGUGCUCGUCCAUCUAUUUAUCUUCUCUUGUGCACAUCUUGUAGUCUUGAAUGAAACCUCUCGCAGUCAAUGCGGUUUGGGAGUUUGUUAACCCUUCUCCUGCUUCUUCAAGGCUAUGUUUUCAUAUACCCUUAUAAAGUUACAGAAUGUCUUUUAAAGGCUUGCGCUUGUCGCAGUCAUUAAACCUAUACAACUUUCAGCAACGGAUCUCUUGGCUCUCCUAUCGAUGAAGAACGCAGCGAAAUGCGAUAAGUAAUGUGAAUUGCAGAAUUCAGUGAAUCAUCGAAUCUUUGAACGCACCUUGCGCCCUUUGGUAUUCCGAAGGGCAUGCCUGUUUGAGUGUCAUUAAAUUAUCAACCUUGCUCGCUUUUACCGGCUUGAGUUAGGCUUGGAUGUGAGGGCUUGCUGGCUUCCUUCAGUGGAUGGUCUGCUCCCUUUAAAUGCAUUAGUGGGAUCUCUUGUGGACCGUCACUAGGUUGUGAUAAUUAUCUACGCCUUUUGACUUUGAAGCAAACUUAUGGGAACCUGCUUAUAACCGUCCUUUCGAGGACAAUCUUUGACAUUUUGACCUCAAAUCAGGUAGGACUACCCGCUGAACUUAAGCAUAUCAAUAAGCGGAGGAAAAGAAACUAACAAGGAUUCCCCUAGUAACUGCGAGUGAAGCGGGAAAAGCUCAAAUUUAAA
This 776-nucleotide ribosomal RNA is filed under the name Mycena seynesii. Its description in RNAcentral is "eukaryotic LSU rRNA". The stretch from base 284 to 437 matches the Rfam family "5.8S ribosomal RNA". Lineage: Eukaryota; Fungi; Basidiomycota; Agaricomycetes; Agaricales; Mycenaceae. The record is from RNAcentral.